AGAGUUUGAUCCUGGCUCAGAACGAACGCUGGCGGCAGGCCUAACACAUGCAAGUCGAACGGAUCCUUCGGGAUUAGUGGCGGACGGGUGAGUAACACGUGGGAACGUGCCCUUUGGUUCGGAACAACUCAGGGAAACUUGAGCUAAUACCGGAUGUGCCCUUCGGGGGAAAGAUUUAUCGCCAUUGGAGCGGCCCGCGUCUGAUUAGCUAGUUGGUGGGGUAAAGGCCCACCAAGGCGACGAUCAGUAGCUGGUCUGAGAGGAUGAUCAGCCACAUUGGGACUGAGACACGGCCCAAACUCCUACGGGAGGCAGCAGUGGGGAAUCUUGCGCAAUGGGCGAAAGCCUGACGCAGCCAUGCCGCGUGAAUGAUGAAGGUCUUAGGAUUGUAUAAUUCUUUCACCGGGGACGAUAAUGACGGUACCCGGAGAAGAAGCCCCGGCUAACUUCGUGCCAGCAGCCGCGGUAAUACGAAGGGGGCUAGCGUUGCUCGGAAUUACUGGGCGUAAAGGGAGCGUA
RNAcentral lists this ribosomal RNA (519 nucleotides) under uncultured bacterium. Its description in RNAcentral is "bacterial SSU rRNA". It matches the Rfam family "Bacterial small subunit ribosomal RNA", at positions 8 to 573 of the family's 1533-position model. The record is from RNAcentral.